This 1844-nucleotide long non-coding RNA is filed under the name Homo sapiens (human). Its description in RNAcentral is "non-protein coding lnc-ZC3HC1-4:1". The record is from RNAcentral. Lineage: Eukaryota; Metazoa; Chordata; Mammalia; Primates; Hominidae.
GCAGAAUUGUCAAAUGACCUGCUGGGGGAGGUUGUAGGAGUUUAGCAGAUUUGAGUGUGGCUGCAGAGAGAGAGAGUGUGUGUAUGUGUGCACAUGUGUGAGAGUGUGAGCGAGAGUGUGUGUGUGUCCAUCUAAGUGUGUGUGAUGAAGGUGGGAUAAGGCUCCUCUGUUAGUGCUGGAAGCUCCUGUAAUUGCCGCAUGGAUCCCACUGUGCCCUCUUGUUCUGUGCAAGUCUGUCCUGUCUGGGCACUAACCUUGGUCCCAUGCAUGUUUAUGUUCUGGGUGGGGCUUUGCCUCUCCACUGGGAAACUGACUUUUGCUGGGUUGAACAGAGUCCCUUAUGCUUUUUGUCCUCUCCCUGCGCCUGGGAGAGGUGGGAGUAGGAGCCCAAACACACAGGUACAGAAAGAUCUGGAAGAAGGCCUGGCAGUGAAUCCAAGGACUCUGGGCCCCCAACAAUAGAUGGUAGCGUAAGUCUGGAGCAGCGGUGUUUCACCACCAAAUGCCUUUCCAGGCUGCCCUUCCAACACUCAGGAGAGCAUCCAGAUCCCUGGGCAGAGGCUCUACAUUCUUGGCUUUAGAGGUGGUGGCAGCGGCAGCAGGUCAGAGCCACUUCUGGCGGUUUCCCUCCCCUUUUUAGUGCCCAUAGUUUUUGGAUCCUCCCUUGAGUUUUACCAGCACAAGCCAUUCUUUGCCCCUGUUCACAUAACUGAGCUCAAGCUCUUGCCAAACACCAACAAGCAAGAUGGUUGCAACCUGGCAACAUUGAAUCCACCACCCUUGGGCUCCCUCUGGAAGCCCCAGCACCGGGGGGCUUUUGGGCACAGGGUCAGUGGUAGCCAUCUUAGACACUGACAUUUGGCUUUGUCGUCAAUUUCAUCACCCUCCUUGAGGUUACUGUGCAGUUUCAACCAGCAUUUUAUCCUAGUGAGGUCAUUAUCAGGAGUUGCCAUAUCAUCUCUCCAGUACCUAACAUUUCUCAUCCACUUCAAAAGCUGUUCUGACUGCCAGCUGGCUGAUCUAAGCUCCUGAGGAAUGUCUCCUCUCAAAGGAAUUUUUCCCUCCAAAGGCCCCCUGAAGUCCUAGUUGGCAUUGGCCUGGCACAUGCUUUAUGUUAGGCCUCCCGUUGGGAUGGCUGAGAAUCAUGAAAGACAGAUCCUCCGCUAGCCUCUGUGGGUCAAGUUUCUGGACACCAAGUCUCUGGGAACUAGUGUUUGAUUUUAAAUGGCAUGUGGCCCUUCCUUGUUUCAGUGACUUAGAAAAGUAAAAGCCAUUUAAAAAAGUUAGCAAGAUUUUUUAUCGACUUCCCAACUGGGCUUCCAGCCUUGUUGAAUGAAAUCAUCUAUCUCUGAUUGGGCGCAACGAACUGCAUUUCUUUGGACUUCUGAAUCCAUGUUUGUGCUUUCUCUGGCCCGUGAACACCUCGGCGAUUCUGUUAGGGAUGGGAUGAGUGGGAGGAAGCCCUUUGAGAAGGGGGAGCCGGCCCUGUCAUGCGCAGGUUUUCCACUCAUCUGAGGAAGAGCCAGGGCUCUGAAUUUAGCCUAACACUCAUCUUGGCUGUGGGCUUGGGAAGAAAUGGCCAUUAUUUACAGAUUGUAUUUGGUACAUAUUGUGUGAUACUUGAAAAGAUAAAAGGGACUGCCAGCCCCUAACUGAAAUCUGAAGCUUUUUAUCGCUUAUUUUUCCUCGCCCUGUCUCCUCCCUUCCACCUUUCUCCUUGCAUUGUGAUGAUCUAGUAGGCACGUCUGUCAACAGGACACAUGCCUCCUCUGACUAUAACCUCUUAAUAGUUGUGUAUAAUGAAAACUGUAAACUUUUUUAAAUAAACGUGUAUAUACCUUGGC